CCCUACGGGAGGCAGCAGUGGGGAAUAUUGCGCAAUGGGCGAAAGCCUGACGCAGCGACGCCGCGUGAGGGAUGAAGGUCUUCGGAUCGUAAACCUCUGUCAGCAGGGAAGAACGGUCACUGUGCUAAUCAGCAGUGAAUUGACGGUACCUGACUAAGAAGCCCCGGCUAACUACGUGCCAGCAGCCGCGGUAAUACGUAGGGGGCAAGCGUUAUCCGGAUUUACUGGGUGUAAAGGGAGCGUAGACGGCAAUACAAGUCGGAAGUGAAAUACCCGGGCUCAACCUGGGAACUGCUUUGGAAACU
Molecule: ribosomal RNA, 305 nt
Filed under: uncultured bacterium
Lineage: Bacteria
Description: bacterial SSU rRNA
Rfam family: Bacterial small subunit ribosomal RNA
Source: RNAcentral